AUUUGCAGCUCCGAUAAGUGGCAUUUUAAAAAACCGCAGUGUCAGUUGCUGAUCUUGAGAUAUAUUUGCGCUUUACAUAAAUCAAAAUGCCUGCUUGUCAAGUAUGCGGACGAAACGCUGUUCCUGCAAGAAUUUCUUUUGACAGACACUACCACCCACAAUGUUUUAGGUGUGUGAAAUGUAAGAUACAUCUCACACCAAACCGUCACAAAGAGUUUAAAGGACAACCCUGCUGCACAUCUCCUUGCUACAAUGUUUUGUUGACAAGACCUACAGCUCGUUAACGUUGUGUAGCCUAGGAAGAGAGAGUGUCUACAAAAUAGACUGCCCCAGUCAACGAAAUCCAUCAAUCUCUUAUCUCCAUACAUCAUGUUGUUUGUGAUAUAGCUUUAGAUUUAUGUUUAUGAAUGCACAUACGACUUUGACCAUUUAGAUUAAGCCUGUAGAGCAUUCUUUUUUCAUUUAUUAUUAUAUUUGCAUUUUAUAAAAGAAAGGAAAAUAAUUAUUUUUAUUUUUAAAAAAGACCCAUAUGGUAAAUAAACCUUUUUC
This is a long non-coding RNA of Physella acuta, 549 nucleotides long. RefSeq lists it as uncharacterized. The record is from RefSeq and is a predicted model, not a curated record. Lineage: Eukaryota; Metazoa; Mollusca; Gastropoda; Physidae.